CCUGGAAACAGAUGCUAAUACCGGAUAACAACAGAUGAUGCCUAUCAACUGUUUAAAAGAUGGUUCUGCUAUCACUCUUGGAUGGACCUGCGGUGCAUUAGCUAGUUGGUAGGGUAACGGCCUACCAAGGCGAUGAUGCAUAGCCGAGUUGAGAGACUGAUCGGCCACAUUGGGACUGAGACNCGGCCCAAACUCCUACGGGAGGCAGCAGGG
This 213-nucleotide ribosomal RNA is filed under the name uncultured Lactobacillus sp. RNAcentral's name for it is "partial 16S ribosomal RNA". It matches the Rfam family "Bacterial small subunit ribosomal RNA", at positions 149 to 354 of the family's 1533-position model. Lineage: Bacteria; Bacillati; Bacillota; Bacilli; Lactobacillales; Lactobacillaceae. The record is from RNAcentral.